AGCUCCAAUAGCGUAUAUUCAAGUUGUUGCAGUUAAAAAGCUCGUAGUUGAACUUUGGUCCUGAUUAGGUGGUUUGAUCGCAAGGUCAACACUGCCUUGGUCGGGACUUUCCUUCUAGGGAACUAGUGUGCUCUUUAUUGGGUGCGUUAGGGAUCUAGGACUGUUACUUUGAAAAAAUUAGAGUGUUCAAAGCAGGCAUUCAUCGUGCCCGAAUACAUGAGCAUGGAAUAAUGGAACAGGACUACGGUCACUGCACUUUUUCCGUUGGUUUCGGAGGACCGAAGUAAUGAUUAAGAGGGACAGUUGGGGGCAUCCGUAUUUCGUAGUCAGAGGUGAAAUUCUUGGAUCUGCGAAAGACGAACGAGUGCGAAAGCAUUUGCCAAGAGUGUUUUCAUUAAUC
This 400-nucleotide ribosomal RNA is filed under the name phytoplankton environmental sample. RNAcentral describes it as "partial small subunit ribosomal RNA". It matches the Rfam family "Eukaryotic small subunit ribosomal RNA", at positions 587 to 978 of the family's 1831-position model. The record is from RNAcentral.